Molecule: non-coding RNA, 165 nt
Organism: Caenorhabditis elegans
Lineage: Eukaryota; Metazoa; Nematoda; Chromadorea; Rhabditida; Rhabditidae
Source: Ensembl
AGGGACAAACAAUUGGGGAAGGGGGCAAGAAAGGUGGAAGCAAAAGGUAAAUGGUAUAGAAAGAAGGACGGAACGCUAAAGACCGGACACUGGGGGUUAUGCAUAUGAUAACGAUCGGGGUGAGGGGGACAAACUCAGAUUGCGGUCAUUCCCGAAUGACCUUUC